UGGGGAAUAUUGCACAAUGGGCGAAAGCCUGAUGCAGCAACGCCGCGUGAAGGAAGAAGGCCUUGGGUCGUAAACUUCUGUCCUUGGGAAGAAGAACUGACGGUACCCAAGGAGGAAGCCCCGGCUAACUACGUGCC
RNAcentral lists this ribosomal RNA (137 nucleotides) under uncultured bacterium. Its description in RNAcentral is "partial 16S ribosomal RNA". It matches the Rfam family "Bacterial small subunit ribosomal RNA", at positions 355 to 509 of the family's 1533-position model. The record is from RNAcentral.